RNAcentral lists this long non-coding RNA (1568 nucleotides) under Mytilus galloprovincialis (Mediterranean mussel). The record is from RNAcentral. Lineage: Eukaryota; Metazoa; Mollusca; Bivalvia; Mytilida; Mytilidae.
CAUUUAGUCACUGGUAUGCUAAACAAAACACUUAUAACUUGUAACUCAGACUUGAACAGUAUUAAAUUUCACUUUUCAUUACUUAAAAACGAACAAUAAUUUUCCAACCUUUUUUUCUCUCAGAGACUCCAAUUGAGUCUCCAUUAUGUAGGGCUCUUCAUCAAAGUUAUCAACCAAGGCCUCAAGUUCUUCAUAUAUCUACGAAAGAUACUAAGGAAAAUACAAACUCUUUAGUAAAGUACAAAUUGCCAAUAACAUGGCAAAAAACAAAAAAACAACAGACAGUUGUACAUGAAAACAUCAGUUUUAACUCUGACUCUAAAACAGCAUUAAAUUUCACCUUUCAUAGCAUAGUAAAAAAAAAAGAAACUAAUUUUUUCAACCUUUUUCUCUCUGUAUUGAUCAGAGUCUCCUUGUCUCCAAUUAUCUGUGUUGCUACAGCCUUCAAAAAAAGUGAAAAUUAGUUAACUGUAGUUGCUUCUGCUAUGACAAAAUAAUAAAUCAAGAAAGAUAACUUUCACACAAUAUUGUAACAUUUCAAAAAAAAAAUUAAGUAAUAUUGUAACAGCUUAUAAGUGUAAGUCACCAAAAUAAAAAGUUCAACACUGACAUGUCUUACCUGCAAAUUAUAAUUAGAUUCAUUAUCAACAAAAGACAGCUUUUUGAGCUUAAAUCAAUGGAGUUAUCUCCCAUUGUCCAAUCUUGCUGUUGAACUGGUGAACUUUUGUUUUAUCCAAAAGAUAGAUUCAUAUACACCAUGCACAAUUGAUGUAAAUUUUUUAAGAAAAAAAUAUAACAUAGACCAUUGCAUACAUGUUACAAACUUUUAUAAUUUCUGACUCAAGACUUUGCAUGAGGACUUCAGCUUGAGCCUACACAAUAAUUAAAAAAAAAAAUCUAAUGUUCACAAUAUUAAAAAAGUUGCUUCAAUGACAAAAUAAAAUCAAGAAAGAUAACUCUUUCACCAUAUAGUAAUAUUUAAAAAAAAAUAAGUAAAUAAAUUAAAAAAAAAGAAAUAUAUAAUUUUUCCAAUCUUCUUUCUCUCUGAAUUCAACUGAGCCUUCAUAUAUAGGACUGGUUGAGCCAACAUUUACUCAGGCCUCUUUUUUCUUCAGAUAUCGAGUUGCUUCAGCCUACAAAAAAAUCAAAAAGUUAACUUGGACACAAUAUUGCAAUAGAUAUUUUCUGUCUAUAUAGCUAUGACAGUAAAAUCAAGAAUGAUAAAUCUUAUACAAUAUAUAUUUUUUUUUUUUUUUUUUUAUCUUUAUUAGAAUCAUCCUACAUACAAUUAUUAUAUAUACACAUAUCUAAUCAAUAUACACACAUUUAUAUACAAUAUUAUCACAGUUUGAACAUAUCCAAUCAUUAUUACAGUCAUAUACUUUAUAUUUUUCCUUUCAAAAUAUCCAAUCAUUAUUACAGUUAUAUGCUCAUAUAUUUACUAACAAAAUAUCCAUUCAUUAUCAUAGUUGUUUACUUUUAAUAUUAUAUAGUAACAUUUUAAAAUCAAAUCAAGAAAGAGCUGACUCCUAAGUACCAGUAAUAUUAUAACAGCUAACUAUGAACAA